CUUAGUUAUUGUAAAAGAGAACCUCCCGCAUUAAGCCUUGAAUUGUUGUUCUGUACAUAAAAGUAUUUUUGUGGAAACCUUCGUCCAUCAGAAACCCCUGAGAUGUGUCCAAUCAAGAGAAUCGCAUGAUGAAUGACCUCAGCACACACUCCCCAUCAAUCUUCGCACACACACAAUUGCCUGUCUGACUCCCCCGAACCGGGCGGGCCCCGGUUGAUAUUUGGCUUGGGAUAUUCUUUGAUAUUUGGCGACUCUCGUCUCGUGAGUUUUUGUUUCCCUUUCGCUUGCGUGCUUAGAGCAUCUCAAAGUCUAACAUUUCUUUUUUCGGCUUGGCCUGGGCAGGCAGCACACGAAAAAUCUUGGUG
Molecule: long non-coding RNA, 365 nt
Filed under: Drosophila guanche
Lineage: Eukaryota; Metazoa; Arthropoda; Insecta; Diptera; Drosophilidae
Source: RNAcentral